GUCGAGGGGCAGCGGGGGAGUAGCAAUACUCCCGCCGGCGACCGGCGCACGGGUGAGUAACACGUAUGAAACCUGCCCGUAGCAGGGGGAUAAGCGGAAGAAAUUCCGUCUAAUACCGCGUAACAACCCAUGGAGGCAUCUCCGUGGGUUUAAAGGAAGCGAUUCCGGCUACGGAUGGUCAUGCGUCGCAUUAGCUUGUUGGCGGGGUAACGGCCCACCAAGGCGACGAUGCGUAGGGGUUCUGAGAGGAAGGUCCCCCACACUGGUACUGAGACACGGACCAGACUCCUACGGGAGGCAGCAGUGAGGAAUAUUGGUCAAUGGCCGCAGGGCUGAACCAGCCAAGUCGCGUGAGGGAUGACGGUCCUAUGGAUUGUAAACCUCUUUUGUCAGGGAGCAAAGGGCGCCACGUGUGGCGUUUUGCGAGUACCUGAAGAAAAAGCAUCGGCUAACUCCGUGCCAGCAGCCGCGGUAAUACGGAGGAUGCGAGCGUUAUCCGGAUUUAUUGGGUUUAAAGGGUGCGCAGGCGGAAUGUCAAGUCAGCGGUAAAAUUUCGGGGCUCAACCCCGUCGUGCCGUUGAAACUGGCGUUCUUGAGUGAGCGAGAAGUAUGCGGAAUGCGUGGUGUAGCGGUGAAAUGCAUAGAUAUCACGCAGAACUCCGAUUGCGAAGGCAGCAUACCGGCGCUCAACUGACGCUCAUGCACGAAAGCG
RNAcentral lists this ribosomal RNA (712 nucleotides) under uncultured bacterium. Its description in RNAcentral is "bacterial SSU rRNA". It matches the Rfam family "Bacterial small subunit ribosomal RNA", at positions 61 to 761 of the family's 1533-position model. The record is from RNAcentral.